RNAcentral lists this ribosomal RNA (287 nucleotides) under uncultured bacterium. RNAcentral's name for it is "partial 16S ribosomal RNA". It matches the Rfam family "Bacterial small subunit ribosomal RNA", at positions 28 to 297 of the family's 1533-position model. The record is from RNAcentral.
GAUGAACGCUAGCUACAGGCUUAACACAUGCAAGUCGAACGAAGCACUUUACUUGAUUUUCUUCGGAACUGAUUGUACUGUGACUGAGUGGCGGACGGGUGAGUAACGCGUGGAUAACCUGCCUCACACAGGGGGGAUAACAGUUGGAAACGGCUGCUAAUACCGCAUAAGCGCACAGCACCGCAUGGUGCAGUGUGAAAAACUCCGGUGGUGUGAGAUGGAUCCGCGUCUGAUUAGGCAGUUGGCGGGGUAACGCCCACAACCGACGAUCAGUAGCCGGCCUGAGA